GAGUUUGAUCAUGGCUCAGAUUGAACGCUGGCGGCAUGCCUUACACAUGCAAGUCGAACGGCAGCAUGAUCUAGCUUGCUAGAUUGAUGGCGAGUGGCGAACGGGUGAGUAAUACAUCGGAACGUGCCCUGUAGUGGGGGAUAACUAGUCGAAAGAUUAGCUAAUACCGCAUACGACCUGAGGGUGAAAGUGGGGGACCGCAAGGCCUCAUGCUAUAGGAGCGGCCGAUGUCUGAUUAGCUAGUUGGUGGGGUAAAGGCCCACCAAGGCGACGAUCAGUAGCUGGUCUGAGAGGACGAUCAGCCACACUGGGACUGAGACACGGCCCAGACUCCUACGGGAGGCAGCAGUGGGGAAUUUUGGACAAUGGGCAAAAGCCUGAUCCAGCAAUGCCGCGUGUGUGAAGAAGGCCUCGGUUGUAAGU
RNAcentral lists this ribosomal RNA (423 nucleotides) under uncultured microorganism. RNAcentral's name for it is "bacterial SSU rRNA". It matches the Rfam family "Bacterial small subunit ribosomal RNA", at positions 9 to 430 of the family's 1533-position model. The record is from RNAcentral.